Molecule: ribosomal RNA, 494 nt
Filed under: uncultured bacterium
Lineage: Bacteria
Description: partial 16S ribosomal RNA
Rfam family: Bacterial small subunit ribosomal RNA
Source: RNAcentral
GACGAACGCUGGCGGCGUGCUUAACACAUGCAAGUCGAACGGAAAGGCCUGCUUUCCCUUGUGGAUUGCGGGUACUCGAGUGGCGAACGGGUGAGUAACACGUGAGUGAUCUGCCCCCAACUUGGGUAUAAGCCUGGGAAACUGGGUCUAAUUCCCGAUAGGACUGCAGGGUGGUGCCUGUGGUGGAAAACGAUUUUCUAGUGGUUGGGGAUGAGCUCGCGGCCUAUCAGCUUGUUGGUGGGGUAAUGGCCUACCAAGGCGGCGACGGGUAGCCGGCCUGGGAGGGUGGACGGCCACAUUGGGACUGAGAUACGGCCCAGACUCCUACGGGAAGCAGCAGUGGGGAAUAUUGCACAAUGGGCGGAAGCCUGAUGCAGCGACGCCGCGUGGGGGAUGACGGCCUUCGGGUUGUAAACUCCUUUCGACCGCGAGGAAGCCACCUGGUUGGAAGGGUGGUGACGGUAGUGGUAGAAGAAGCACCGGCUAACUACGUG